Molecule: ribosomal RNA, 252 nt
Filed under: uncultured Bacteroidales bacterium
Lineage: Bacteria; Pseudomonadati; Bacteroidota; Bacteroidia; Bacteroidales
Description: partial 16S ribosomal RNA
Rfam family: Bacterial small subunit ribosomal RNA
Source: RNAcentral
UACGGAGGAUGCGAGCGUUAUCCGGAUUUAUUGGGUUUAAAGGGUGCGUAGGCGGUCCGUUAAGUCAGCGGUAAAAGCCCGGGGCUCAACCCCGGCCCGCCGUUGAAACUGCAUCCCUUGAGUGCGCGAGAAGUAUGCGGAAUGCGUGGUGUAGCGGUGAAAUGCAUAGAUAUCACGCAGAACCCCGAUUGCGAAGGCAGCGUACCGGCUCCACACUGACGCUGAGGCACGAAAGCGUGGGUAUCGAACAGG